GGUUUGCGGACCCACGGGGAGUCGCGGUGGAAAGGCGCGGCCCGCUGAUUCCCGUCAUGUGACAAGAAGCGGAAACUACGCUGAAAUAGGCCCUGGCUCCAGGUCCCAGUAACUCGGAAUGCGGAGCCGCUCGUCUCCGUCUUUUUUAAGUGCACUGGUACCAUCAUAGUUCACUGCUGCUUCAUACUCCUGGACUCAAGCAAUCCUCCCUCCUUGGUCUCCCAAAGUGCUGAGAUUACAGGUGUGAGCCACCUCCCUGGCCAUAAAGGAAUAUUUGGUGAAUUACUGACAAAUAGCUGAGGCAUGGGGAAAAAUAACCUGCCACAAUUUGAGAACACACACACAGACUGAAUGACACGGGGAAUCCUACAGCUGAGCUAGAGAGAUGAAGAUGCAUCUGGUUCAUUUAACAGGUGAGA
RNAcentral lists this non-coding RNA (419 nucleotides) under Pongo abelii (Sumatran orangutan). The record is from RNAcentral. Lineage: Eukaryota; Metazoa; Chordata; Mammalia; Primates; Hominidae.